CCUACGGGGGGCAGCAGUGAGGAAUAUUGGUCAAUGGCCGAGAGGCUGAACCAGCCAAGUCGCGUGAGUGAAGAAGUAUUUCGGUAUGUAAAGCUCUAUCAGCAGGGAAGAAAAUGACGGUACCUGAUUAAGAAGCCCCGGCUAACUACGUGCCAGCAGCCGCGGUAAUACGUAGGGGGCAAGCGUUAUCCGGAUUUACUGGGUGUAAAGGGAGCGUAGACGGCAGCACAAGUCUGGAGUGAAAUGCCGGGGCUUAACCCCGGAACUGCUUUGGAAACUGUGCAGCUAGAGUGCAGGAGAGGUAAGUGGAAUUCCUAGUGUAGCGGUGAAAUGCGUAGAUAUUAGGAGGAACACCAGUGGCGAAGGCGGCUUACUGGACUGUAACUGACGUUGAGGCUCGAAAGCGUGGGGAGCAAACAGGAUUAGAUACCCGAGUAGUC
This 440-nucleotide ribosomal RNA is filed under the name uncultured bacterium. RNAcentral describes it as "partial 16S ribosomal RNA". It matches the Rfam family "Bacterial small subunit ribosomal RNA", at positions 338 to 795 of the family's 1533-position model. The record is from RNAcentral.